RNAcentral lists this ribosomal RNA (460 nucleotides) under uncultured bacterium. RNAcentral's name for it is "partial 16S ribosomal RNA". It matches the Rfam family "Bacterial small subunit ribosomal RNA", at positions 338 to 795 of the family's 1533-position model. The record is from RNAcentral.
CCUACGGGAGGCAGCAGUGAGGAAUAUUGGUCAAUGGACGAGAGUCUGAACCAGCCAAGUAGCGUGAAGGAUGACUGCCCUAUGGGUUGUAAACUUCUUUUAUAUGGGAAUAAAAUGUUCCACGUGUGGGAUUUUGUAUGUACCAUAUGAAUAAGGAUCGGCUAACUCCGUGCCAGCAGCCGCGGUAAUACGGAGGAUCCGAGCGUUAUCCGGAUUUAUUGGGUUUAAAGGGAGCGUAGGUGGAUUGUUAAGUCAGUUGUGAAAGUUUGCGGCUCAACCGUAAAAUUGCAGUUGAAACUGGCAGUCUUGAGUACAGUAGAGGUGGGCGGAAUUCGUGGUGUAGCGGUGAAAUGCUUAGAUAUCACGAAGAACUCCGAUUGUGAAGGCAGUUCACUGGACUGCAACUGACACUGAGGCUCGAAAGUGUGGGUAUCAAACAGGAUUAGAUACCCCAGUAGUC